GGGUCUUUUAAGCGCUGGUCCCUGAAAGAAGGGGGCACGUGCGCGCCCCUGAUCCUUUUGUCCCACAAAUACACCUGUGCACCUAGCGAGCGCCUCCCAUAUAGGAGCCGUCCCGAUGUAGAACCCUUUCGGGGGGGAGUCGGGCCCGGGGCGUUUCCUCUUUCUUUUUUUACACCGUCGCCUGUUCAAACGCAUGUCUUUGAAGCCCUACGGGGCGAAAGCGGAAUACAACUUUCAACAACGGAUCUCUUGGCUUUCGCAUCGAUGAAGGACGCCGCGAACGUGCGAAACGUAAUGUGAAUUGCAGAAUUCAGUGAAUCAUCGAAUCUUUGAACGCAUCUUGCGCUCCUUGGUAUUCCGAGGAGCAUGCCUGUUUGAGUGUCGUGAAUUACCUUCGAACCCCUCCCUUACCUUGGGGGUGGGGGUUUGGAUUUGGACGCUUGCGGCAAAGGGGGGGGACUCUUCCCUGCCGCUCGUCUCUAAAUGCAUCAGCUGGUCCCUCGAGUCGGUCCGACGAAACGGUGUGAUAAUAAACGCUUUGUCGACUGUGGCGCCGUUUUUGGCCGACUCGUGUCGGGGGUUCGCUUACAGCCGUCUUCGGACACUUUUGUUGUCGUCUGACCUCAAAUCAGGUAGGACUACCCGCCNAACUUAAGCAUAUC
Molecule: ribosomal RNA, 662 nt
Filed under: uncultured fungus
Lineage: Eukaryota; Fungi
Description: eukaryotic LSU rRNA
Rfam family: 5.8S ribosomal RNA (bases 230-384)
Source: RNAcentral